GACGAACGCUGGCGGCGUGCCUAAUACAUGCAAGUCGAACGAACCGCGACUAGGUGCUUGCACUUGGUCAAGGUGAGUGGCGAACGGGUGAGUAACACGUGGGUAACCUACCUCAUAGUGGGGGAUAACAGUCGGAAACGACUGCUAAUACCGCAUAGGACAUAGGAUCACAUGAUUCUGUGAGGAAAGGUGGCGCAAGCUAUCGCUAAGAGAUGGACCCGCGGUGCAUUAGCUAGUUGGUAGGGUAAAGGCCUACCAAGGCGAUGAUGCAUAGCCGACCUGAGAGGGUGAUCGGCCACAUUGGAACUGAGACACGGCCCAAACUCCUACGGGAGGCAGCAGUAGGGAAUCUUCCGCAAUGGACGCAAGUCUGACGGAGCAACGCCGCGUGAGUGAAGAAGGUCUUCGGAUCGUAAAGCUCUGUUGUUAGAGAAGAACAGCGCAUAGAGUAACUGUUAUGCGUGUGACGGUAUCUAACCAGAAAGCCACGGCUAACUACGUG
RNAcentral lists this ribosomal RNA (502 nucleotides) under uncultured bacterium. Its description in RNAcentral is "partial 16S ribosomal RNA". It matches the Rfam family "Bacterial small subunit ribosomal RNA", at positions 28 to 507 of the family's 1533-position model. The record is from RNAcentral.